RNAcentral lists this ribosomal RNA (304 nucleotides) under uncultured bacterium. RNAcentral's name for it is "bacterial SSU rRNA". It matches the Rfam family "Bacterial small subunit ribosomal RNA", at positions 28 to 334 of the family's 1533-position model. The record is from RNAcentral.
GAUGAACGCUGGCGGCGUGCCUAAUACAUGCAAGUCGGACGGAGCGCUUCGGCGCUCAGUGGCGAACGGGUGAGUAGCACAUGGGCAACCUGCCCUUCAGAGGGGGACAACAGCUGGAAACGGCUGCUAAGACCGCAUAGGCGCGGACGGGACAUCCCGUCCACGUUAAACGUCCUUUAGGGGACGGCUGAAGGAUGGGCCUGUGGCGCAUUAGCUAGUUGGUAAGGUAACGGCUUACCAAGGCGACGAUGCAUAGCCGAGUUGAGAGACUGAUCGGCCACAUUGGGACUGAGACACGGCCCAA